GCUGGGUGUGGUGGCGCACACCUGUAGUCCCAGCUACUUGGGAGGCUGAGGCAGGAGAAUCGCUUCAACCCAGGAGGCGGAGGCUGCAGUGAGCCGAGAUCGCACCACUGCACUCCAGCCUGGGUGACAGAGUGACACUCUGUCUCAA
RNAcentral lists this non-coding RNA (148 nucleotides) under Gorilla gorilla gorilla (western lowland gorilla). The record is from Rfam by way of RNAcentral. Lineage: Eukaryota; Metazoa; Chordata; Mammalia; Primates; Hominidae.